RNAcentral lists this ribosomal RNA (279 nucleotides) under uncultured bacterium. RNAcentral describes it as "partial 16S ribosomal RNA". It matches the Rfam family "Bacterial small subunit ribosomal RNA", at positions 506 to 784 of the family's 1533-position model. The record is from RNAcentral.
UGCCAGCCGCCGCGGUAAUCCUGAUUUGGUUAUCGUUGUUCGGAAUUUCUGGGCGUAAAGCGCACGUAGGCGGAUUGGAAAGUUGGGGGUGAAAUCCCGGGGCUCAACCCCGGAACUGCCUCCAAAACUAUCAGUCUAGAGUUCGAGAGAGGUGAGUGGAACUCCGAGUGUAGAGGUGAAAUUCGUAGAUAUUCGGAAGAACACCAGUGGCGAAGGCGGCUUUCUGGACCGAUACUGACGCUGAGACGCGAAAGCGUGGGGAGUAAACAGGAUUAGAUA